Molecule: ribosomal RNA, 432 nt
Filed under: uncultured bacterium
Lineage: Bacteria
Description: partial 16S ribosomal RNA
Rfam family: Bacterial small subunit ribosomal RNA
Source: RNAcentral
AGCGAACGCUGGCGGCAGGCUUAACACAUGCAAGUCGAGCGGGCCUUUCGGGGUCAGCGGCGGACGGGUGAGUAACGCGUGGGAACGUGCCCUCUGGUUCGGAAUAACUCAGGGAAACUUGAGCUAAUACCGGAUACGCCCUUUUGGGGAAAGGCUUGCUGCCGGAGGAUCGGCCCGCGUCUGAUUAGCUAGUUGGUGAGGUAACGGCUCACCAAGGCGACGAUCAGUAGCUGGUCUGAGAGGAUUAUCAGCCACACUGGGACUGAGACACGGCCCAGACUCCUACGGGAGGCAGCAGUGGGGAAUAUUGGACAAUGGGCGCAAGCCUGAUCCAGCCAUGCCGCGUGAGUGAUGAAGGCCUUAGGGUUGUAAAGCUCUUUUAUCCGGGACGAUAAUGACGGUACCGGAGGAAUAAGCCCCGGCUAACUUCGU